UAAACUAGGAAAAAAAGAGAGAAAAUAUGCUAAAAUAUUAACUUGAUUUGAUAAUCGUAGUAGGAGAUGAUAGAGUCUGCAUUGUAAUCACUUUUCUUACUUUAUCCUAGCUGCACUUAUCAAUAAGUAAGCCUUCUCAAUACUGCUGACAGGUAGAUUUAAUUAAAUGCAUCUAUAAGGAGGGCAUAAUAUAAAAUGUUUUCAAAGGCCUUGCCAGUAAAUGUAAAGUGAUGGGAUUUUUUUUUCCAGAUUUCAGGGAAAUUAUGAAAAAAGAUGAAGACAUUUUCAUAUCCUUUGAUUUUAACAAAUGUUUGAAUUAUUUAAUUAGGUCACCCAUCUGAAAAUCUUAUAUAUCAUUUUGGAGUGUCCUAAUUAAGAGAAUCUAUUUACCUGCCCACAAAAAGAUACAAAACAAACAUUAGUGCCCCAAGCUCUUUGUAUUGUACUUUUUCCUCUCUCAUGUGAUGUGCUGAGAUCCAUAAAGACUCCCUGGUAACCAGACUUCACACUAUUGUUCUGCUUGUUCUAAAGCUGGAAAAAAGCCCAAGUCUCGUUUUUUUACAGGAGAUUAUUUCCUGAUUACUGAUGCUCAUAAAUCUCAGAAAACUAGGCUCUAAUAAGAACACAGAGUAUAAAUAUUUUGAUGCAGCACCUCCAGCACUUCUUCAGGAGUAUGAGGAUACUUUGUGAAAUAUCUGUCUUUGCUAUAAUUGCAUUCUCACUGUGCUUUACUGUGAUCUGAUGAAAAUUGAUAAAGCACAUUGAAAAAACAAAAUUUAAAAAUUGUCCUCCAGUUCAUUUUCCACAGUUUUAUCUUACCAGCCUCUUGAAAAGUGCAGGUACACUAGUGUGAUAUAACCAGGAAAACCAAGAUUGUGACCACACUACACUCUUGAUCAAAGCAAUGGAACAGCAGAGGAGGGAUUUUGUGAACUAUAAAAAAUGCAUUCUGCAUCUAUUUCACAAUUUUAUAAGGAAAACUGCAAUACAUUUUGCAAUAAGCACAGACUGACAUGUUUUUAGUUCAAACAGCUAGAAUAGAAUUCAGACAUCAGAACAAUCCAAAUUCCAGUUUUUCUUUCUGAUAAUUUUACCCUUAAAUUUUACCCUAAACCUGAGAGCACCACCAUCUACCAAAAAUUAAUCUCAAAAACACAAUAAAUCAGUUAAAUUAAGCA
Molecule: long non-coding RNA, 1178 nt
Filed under: Lonchura striata (white-rumped munia)
Lineage: Eukaryota; Metazoa; Chordata; Aves; Passeriformes; Estrildidae
Description: domestica (Bengalese finch) lncRNA (ENSLSDG00000006558.1)
Source: RNAcentral